GACGAACGCUGGCGGUGUGCUUAACACAUGCAAGUCGAACGGUAAGGCCCUUUCGGGGGUACACGAGUGGCGAACGGGUGAGUAACACGUGAGUAACCUGCCCUCAUCUCUGGGAUAACAGUCGGAAACGGUUGCUAAUACUGGAUAUGAGCUUGCAAGGCAUCUUGUGGGUUGGAAAGAUUUUUUUUGGUUGGGGAUGGACUCGCGGCCUAUCAGCUUGUUGGUGAGGUAGUGGCUCACCAAGGCUUCGACGGGUAGCCGGCCUGAGAGGGCGACCGGCCACAUGGGGACUGAGAUACGGCCCAAACUCCUACGGGAGGCAGCAGUGGGGAAUAUUGCACAAUGGACGGAAGUCUGAUGCAGCAACGCCGCGUGCGGGAUGACGGCCUUCGGGUUGUAAACCGCUGUCAAUUGUGACGAAGCGUUUUUGUGACGGUAGCAGUAGAAGAAGCACCGGCUAACUACGUG
Molecule: ribosomal RNA, 468 nt
Filed under: uncultured bacterium
Lineage: Bacteria
Description: partial 16S ribosomal RNA
Rfam family: Bacterial small subunit ribosomal RNA
Source: RNAcentral